AAAAAGACAAACCCUAAGUUUCCGUGUCUAAUUUUGACUGUCUGUCUUAUAUGAAUUUUUUUUAUAAUUCGUAUUUUCAUUGUUGUUAGAUGAUAAAACAUGAUUAAUAUUUUAUGUGUGACUUGUUUUUUUAUUUUUUUUUUUCAUAUUUUUUUUAAAUAAGACGGACGGUGACACGGAAACCAGGGUUUAUUUAUU
Oryza glumipatula is the source of this 198-nucleotide non-coding RNA. The record is from Rfam. Lineage: Eukaryota; Viridiplantae; Streptophyta; Magnoliopsida; Poales; Poaceae.